GUCACUCUGCCUGUUUCAAGGACUUGUCCAGGGGCUGUGCUUUUGCAAUAAUGUUCCUCCCGAAGUAUGUCAUCUUCAAGGAGAUUCAUAAAUAGGACUUUGUUAAAACAAAGGCUGUCCACGAAUCUCCUUGGAAGGGACUAGACCAGGUCCUCCUCACUGCCCCGAUGGCAGCCAGGCUUCAGGGACCCAAGCCUUGGGUACACAUCUCACAGCCGAAGAAGGCUCCUCCUGACACCUGGUCCUGUGCAGACGCUGGAGAGUCUCUGCCUCCGAUGACUAGAAGGGAAGGAGCUGACAUCCAUCCAUCAAAGAUGCCAGGUCAAGACUUGCUACUUUAA
This is a long non-coding RNA of Zalophus californianus (California sea lion), 341 nucleotides long. RefSeq lists it as uncharacterized. NCBI's taxonomy places the organism in Eukaryota, Metazoa, Chordata, Mammalia, Carnivora, Otariidae. The record is from RefSeq and is a predicted model, not a curated record. The transcript has 3 exons.